AGGUAAGACAUCUUAACAAUGGAACUAGAUUUAUUUAAAGAGAAGGAUUUCAAUUUGUAGUUCACAAGAUUGUUUUUUCUUUGUGCUAGUUUCUUAUCUUUUGCUGAAUAUCUAUUAUUUUGAAGAAUCCUUUCUUCUCAGUUCUGGACAUAAUUUCUUCCUGGAUAUAUAGAUUAUUUAGAUUCAUUCAUUCCAAAUCAGAGAUGAAAGAUUUCAACUUCAGGAUGCUUAGCAUCUCAUCUCAUUGAUCAUAACUUCUUCCUGGACAAUAGGGAUGGCUUUGUCAUUAAAGAUCUCCAACAUCAACUUGCAGAGAGUGGAGAAUGACAGAUUCAGAUCAUCAUCAUCAUCUCUUCUUUUCCUUUUUUCCCUUGUCCCUUUCAUCCAGGAAUUUGUCAUUUUUAUAUUGACAGCAGAACAAUUAGUAAUGACUCAAAUGUUGAAUCUAUUUCCCACACUAUACUGUGUCCUGGCUAAGAAAAACCCUGAUGUAAACAAACAAGAUGUAAAGAGGCUUAAAAGUUGUGACGUUAUUG
Molecule: long non-coding RNA, 536 nt
Filed under: Androctonus crassicauda
Lineage: Eukaryota; Metazoa; Arthropoda; Arachnida; Scorpiones; Buthidae
Source: RNAcentral